Non-coding RNA from Phrynosoma platyrhinos (Desert horned lizard), 74 nucleotides. Lineage: Eukaryota; Metazoa; Chordata; Lepidosauria; Squamata; Phrynosomatidae. The record is from the annotation of a GenBank genome assembly.
GAGUGAGCAUGGCGUAAUGGUUUGAGUGUUAGACUACAACUCUGGGAACCAGGGUUUGAUUCCCAGCUCAGCCA